UCUAUGACGGGUAUCCGGCCUGAGAGGGUGAUCGGACACACUGGAACUGAGACACGGUCCAGACUCCUACGGGAGGCAGCAGUAGGGAAUAUUGCUCAAUGGGGGAAACCCUGAAGCAGCAACGCCGCGUGGAGGAUGAAGGUUUUAGGAUUGUAAACUCCUUUUGUAAGAGAAGAUUAUGACGGUAUCUUAGGAAUAAGCACCGGCUAACUCC
RNAcentral lists this ribosomal RNA (214 nucleotides) under Helicobacter sp. H007. RNAcentral describes it as "partial 16S ribosomal RNA". It matches the Rfam family "Bacterial small subunit ribosomal RNA", at positions 273 to 504 of the family's 1533-position model. Lineage: Bacteria; Pseudomonadati; Campylobacterota; Epsilonproteobacteria; Campylobacterales; Helicobacteraceae. The record is from RNAcentral.